Molecule: long non-coding RNA, 1091 nt
Organism: Oncorhynchus keta (chum salmon)
Lineage: Eukaryota; Metazoa; Chordata; Actinopteri; Salmoniformes; Salmonidae
Exons: 4
Source: RefSeq, a predicted model, not a curated record
AUUCUGUGUGACUAGGCUACAUCAUCCCCAUUCUGUGUGACUAGGCUACAUCAUCCCCAUUCUGUGUGACUAGGCUACAUCAUCCCCAUUCUGUGUGACUAGGCUACAUCAUCCCCAUUCUGUGUGACUAGGCUACAUCAUCCCCAUUCUGUGUGACUAGGCUACAUCAUCCCCAUUCUGUGUGACUAGGCUACAUCAUCCCCAUUCUGUGUGACUAGGCUACAUCAUCCCCAUUCUGUGUGACUAGGCUACAUCAUCCCCAUUCUGUGUGACUAGGCUACAUCAUCCCCAUUCUGUGUGACUAGGCUAAAUAUUCUCCUGCUGUAUUUCAUGUUGGCUUUUCUCUCCAACAACAGACACCUCUUUGAAAACACACGUUCACAGACGAAACAUUUCCCUAGCAACUAAAGCCUUCUCCUCCCCUCAUUAAUGUGGGUUAGCAUCUCAUCAUCCUUACCUCAAGGUAAACUAACCAAGACUAGAAAUGUCCAAGGAUCGUUAGCCCUGUCAGGGGCCUCAACCAGCUCCUCUGACUAGCCCUGUCAUACUGAGUUCAGACAGAUCUGAACCAGCCAGGUUAACAGAGAGAUGUUCAGACAGAUCUGAACCAGCCAGGUUAACAGAGGGAUGUCCAGACAGAUCUGAACCAGCCAGGUUAACAGAGAGAUGUUCAGACAGAUCUGAACCAGCCAGGUUAACAGAGAGAUGUUCAGACAGAUCUGAACCAGCCAGGUUAACAGAGAGAUGUUCAGACAGAUCUGAACCAGCCAGGUUAACAGAGAGAUGUUCAGACAGAUCUGAACCAGCCAGGUUAACAGAGAGAUGUUCAGACAGAUCUGAACCAGCCAGGUUAACAGAGAGAUGUUCAGACAGAUCUGAACCAGCCAGGUUAACAGAGAGAUGUUCAGACAGAUCUGAACCAGCCAGGUUAACAGAGAGAUGUUCAGACAGGUCUGAACCAGCUCGGCCAGCAGUGGAUCUGUACAAAGCAAGAGAAGCCUUGAUUGUGAUCUAGCAGUGUCAUUACAUUGGCGUGGUCCCGUGGCGGUGCCUGUGUUGCCAUCGGAGGGCUCCUCAGCCAUAUCUGUCCC